RNAcentral lists this ribosomal RNA (495 nucleotides) under uncultured bacterium. RNAcentral's name for it is "partial 16S ribosomal RNA". It matches the Rfam family "Bacterial small subunit ribosomal RNA", at positions 28 to 507 of the family's 1533-position model. The record is from RNAcentral.
GACGAGCGCUGGCGGCGUGCCUAAUACAUGCAAGUAGAACGCUGAAGGAGGAGCUUGCUUCUCUGGAUGAGUUGCGAACGGGUGAGUAACGCGUAGGUAACCUGCCUGGUAGCGGGGGAUAACUAUUGGAAACGAUAGCUAAUACCGCAUAACAGUAGAUAUCGCAUGAUAUCUACUUGAAAGGUGCAAUUGCAUCACUACCAGAUGGACCUGCGUUGUAUUAGCUAGUUGGUGAGGUAACGGCUCACCAAGGCGACGAUACAUAGCCGACCUGAGAGGGGGAUCGGCCACACUGGGACUGAGACACGGCCCAGACUCCUACGGGAGGCAGCAGUAGGGAAUCUUCGGCAAUGGACGGAAGUCUGACCGAGCAGCGCCGCGUGAGUGAAGAAGGUUUUCGGAUCGUAAAGCUCUGUUGUAAGAGAAGAACGAGUGUGAGAGUGGAAAGUUCACACUGUGACGGUAUCUUACCAGAAAGGGACGGCUAACUACGUG